UGGGGAAUUUUGGACAAUGGGCGAAAGCCUGAUCCAGCAAUGCCGCGUGUGUGAAGAAGGCCUUCGGGUUGUAAAGCACUUUUGUCCGGAAAGAAAUCCUUGGCUCUAAUACAGUCGGGGGAUGACGGUACCGGAAGAAUAAGCACCGGCUAACUACGUGCCAGCAGCCGCGGUAAUACGUAGGGUGCAAGCGUUAAUCGGAAUUACUGGGCGUAAAGCGUGCGCAGGCGGUUUGCUAAGACCGAUGUGAAAUCCCCGGGCUCAACCUGGGAACUGCAUUGGUGACUGGCAGGCUAGAGUAUGGCAGAGGGGGGUAGAAUUCCACGUGUAGCAGUGAAAUGCGUAGAGAUGUGGAGGAAUACCGAUGGCGAAGGCAGCCCCCUGGGCCAAUACUGACGCUCAUGCACGAAAGCGUGGGGAGCAAACAGGAUUAGAUACCCUGGUAGUCCACGCCCUAAACGAUGUCAACUAGUUGUUGGGGAUUCAUUUCCUUAGUAACGUAGCUAACGCGUGAAGUUGACCGUC
Molecule: ribosomal RNA, 525 nt
Filed under: uncultured bacterium
Lineage: Bacteria
Description: partial 16S ribosomal RNA
Rfam family: Bacterial small subunit ribosomal RNA
Source: RNAcentral